RNAcentral lists this unclassified non-coding RNA (405 nucleotides) under soil metagenome. Its description in RNAcentral is "partial contains 5.8S ribosomal RNA, internal transcribed spacer 2, and large subunit ribosomal RNA". The stretch from base 1 to 121 matches the Rfam family "5.8S ribosomal RNA", at positions 35 to 154 of the family's 154-position model. The record is from RNAcentral.
GAUGAAGAACGCAGCGAAAUGCGAUAAGUAAUGUGAAUUGCAGAAUUCAGUGAAUCAUCGAAUCUUUGAACGCACCUUGCGCCCUUUGGCCAUUCCGAAGGGCAUGCCUGUUUGAGUAUCAUGAACACCUCAACUCUUUAUGGUUUUCCAUGAUGAGCUUGGACUCUGGGGGUUUUGCUGGCUCACAGUCGGCUCCUCUAAAAUGAAUCAGCUUACCAGUGUUUGGUGGGUAUCAUGGGUGUUAUAACUAUCUACGCUUGUGGUUUUUCCACCAGGUAACCUUCAGCAGUGGAGGUUCGCUGGAGCUCAUAGAUGUCUCUCCUCAGUGAGGACAGCCCUUUGAAUGUUUGAUCUCAAAUCAGGUAGGACUACCCGCUGAACUUAAGCAUAUCAAUAAGCGGAGGA